CUGAACAUGAAGAAAAGAAAGGAGACAAAAUAAAGAAAACAAAAUUUAUGCAAGUGCAGCUAGAUUUUUCUAUUAAGGGGGUUCAGCAGCUUUCAGGUAUUCGUUAUCGCGAUGGUAAAUUUUGAAUCACUGCUGCAGGAAUAGAAAUACGCCAACUUUAAGACACAAGGACAAGGGAUUUUGAGAAAAAAAAUUAUCUUCUUUCAGCAGCUCCAACUUUUCCCGAAUCCCGACAGAAAAGCAAAAGCGACAGUGACAACGGAAGAAGGCAAACAAGGGAAUUGAAAGAUAAACAUCAUGCAAGGAGAAAUAGGAAAAAUACUAAACAAGAAAAUAUCGAUAGAAAAUCAAUCAGAGAUGCCACUCUCUUUGAGGUAGUCCAAUUUUUGUUUUGGUAGCUAAAAGAAUAUUUUAAGCUCUAUGGAAAUAAUAUUAGUAUAUUAAAUUCGGUUUGGGUUGCCAAAAAGUGGUGUGUUGAAUGCAAUAGCAAUAGUUUUUAAUUGCAUUUGGCAACACAUUAUGCUUAUUAUUUUGAAGAAUAAACUCUUUGAAUGUUAUCGAG
Molecule: long non-coding RNA, 562 nt
Organism: Eupeodes corollae
Lineage: Eukaryota; Metazoa; Arthropoda; Insecta; Diptera; Syrphidae
Exons: 2
Source: RefSeq, a predicted model, not a curated record